This 292-nucleotide ribosomal RNA is filed under the name uncultured bacterium. Its description in RNAcentral is "partial 16S ribosomal RNA". It matches the Rfam family "Bacterial small subunit ribosomal RNA", at positions 505 to 796 of the family's 1533-position model. The record is from RNAcentral.
GUGCCAGCAGCCGCGGUAAGACAGAGGGUGCAAACGUUGUUCGGAAUUACUGGGCGUAAAGCGCGUGUAGGCGGUUAUGCAAGUCGGGUGUGAAAGCCCGGAGCUCAACUCCGGAAGUGCAUUCGAUACUGCGUAGCUAGAGUACUGGAGAGGAUGGUGGAACUCUCGGUGUAGAGGUGAAAUUCGUAGAUAUCGAGAAGAACACCGGUGGCGAAGGCGGCCAUCUGGACAGAUACUGACGCUGAGACGCGAAAGCGUGGGGAGCAAACAGGAUUAGAUACCCCGGUAGUCC